This 74-nucleotide transfer RNA is filed under the name Thioploca sp. RNAcentral's name for it is "tRNA-Arg". It matches the Rfam family "tRNA". Rfam says of the family: Transfer RNA (tRNA) molecules are approximately 80 nucleotides in length. Their secondary structure includes four short double-helical elements and three loops (D, anti-codon, and T loops). Lineage: Bacteria; Pseudomonadati; Pseudomonadota; Gammaproteobacteria; Thiotrichales; Thiotrichaceae. The record is from RNAcentral.
GGGUUUAUAGCUCAAUUUGGAAGAGCAGCGGAUUUCUAAUCCGAAGGUUACAGGUUCGAAUCCUGUUAGACCCG